Long non-coding RNA from Polyodon spathula (Mississippi paddlefish), 467 nucleotides. RefSeq lists it as uncharacterized. NCBI's taxonomy places the organism in Eukaryota, Metazoa, Chordata, Actinopteri, Acipenseriformes, Polyodontidae. The transcript is spliced from 3 exons. The record is from RefSeq and is a predicted model, not a curated record.
UUUUAUUACUAUUUUUAAGAUUUACACAUGCAAGAAAUGUUAUGGAGAAUACUGGAUUUUAUUUUUAAACAUACUCUUGGGUUACAAAGUUUUAUGAACCAUGCCUAGAAGGAAAUAACCAGAACAUGCUCAAUUAGUGUUUGACGGUGACAAAACCCGUUUUUUUCCCCGACAGUAUUGACUAUAAGCUGCUCCUGAUUAAGUGGGAUAGUGAUAUAAUCGUCAACCGUCUUUAUCAAGUCAGCCAUGACCCUUUGAAAUGACCGAGACAUAGAAGGACAAUGCUACCAACAACUUCAUAUGCGCAGGUAUAGAACUGACCCUUUUUGUAGGUAAUACGUGGUCCUUCCACAGAGUCUGACAGAGGUCGACAAUAGCUGUCCUAUCCAGAAAUAAUCGAGUUUUUAGAACAUCAUUUGGUAAAGCUAAGAAAAUAACCCUAGUCCUGAAAACCCUCUCUCUGUAUU